This 406-nucleotide ribosomal RNA is filed under the name uncultured bacterium. RNAcentral describes it as "partial 16S ribosomal RNA". It matches the Rfam family "Bacterial small subunit ribosomal RNA", at positions 30 to 526 of the family's 1533-position model. The record is from RNAcentral.
AUUGAACGCUGGCGGCAGGCCUAACACAUGCAAGUCGAACGAGUGGCGGACGGGCGAGUAAUGUCUGGGAAACUGCCUGAUGGAGGGGGAUAAGUACUGGAAACGGUAGCUAAUACCGCACACCACCAGUUGGGCCCAGAGGGGAUUAGCUUGGUGGUGGGGUAAAGGCUUACCAGGGCGACGAUCCCUAGCUGGUCUGAGAGGAUGAACAGCCACACUGGGACUGAGACACGGUCCAGACUCCUACGAGAGGCAGCAGUGGGGAAUAUUGCACAAUGGGCGCAAGCCUGAUACAGCCAUGCCGCGUGUGUGAAGAAGGCCUUCGGAUUGUAAAGUACUUUCAGCGGGGAGGCGUUACCCACAGAAGAAGCACCGGCUAACUCCGUGCCAGCAGCCGCGGUAAUAC